UGGGGAAUUUUGGACAAUGGGGGAAACCCUGAUCCAGCCAUCCCGCGUGUGCGAUGAAGGCCUUCGGGUUGUAAAGCACUUUUGGCAGGAAAGAAACGUCAUGGGUUAAUACCCCGUGAAACUGACGGUACCUGCAGAAUAAGCACCGGCUAACUACGUGCCAGCAGCCGCGGUAAUACGUAGGGUGCAAGCGUUAAUCGGAAUUACUGGGCGUAAAGCGUGCGCAGGCGGUUCGGAAAGAAAGAUGUGAAAUCCCAGAGCUCAACUUUGGAACUGCAUUUUUAACUACCGGGCUAGAGUGUGUCAAAGGGAGGUGGAAUUCCGCGUGUAGCAGUGAAAUGCGUAGAUAUGCGGAGGAACACCGAUGGCGAAGGCAGCCUCCUGGGAUAACACUGACGCUCAUGCACGAAAGCGUGGGGAGCAAACAGG
Molecule: ribosomal RNA, 429 nt
Filed under: Acidobacteriota bacterium
Lineage: Bacteria; Pseudomonadati; Acidobacteriota
Description: Acidobacteria bacterium partial 16S ribosomal RNA
Rfam family: Bacterial small subunit ribosomal RNA
Source: RNAcentral